AUUUCGCUGUGGUCGCCUGACGAAUUUAUAGUUGUGCCUUAGCGAUAACGAGUUGACAACGCUAGUUGUUAAGUAGGGUUUAAGGUAGACUCGUUUGCGGAAGACGUAGUCAUCGACUGGUUUUCAGCAAAAGCGUGUUUGUGAUGACGUUCCAGAAUGGUAUUGCGGUUACUGCGGAACAUUUCCGAAGUAUUUUUUGUAGGAUUGAAAACGUGAGGUCGCGCGGACUGUAACGUCGCAGGUAACAGCAUUUUGGGGGAUAUUUACCAACAAGCAACUAUAUCCCCUGACAGAUCGCAGUGUGCACACUUCGUGCGAAACGGUUAUGGUAUUCCCGGACCGACGAUAGCACACAAAUUGAUUGUCCACGUUUGGUUAUCGGAAAAUUCGAUAUAAUCAUUUAUAAAGCAAUAACCUGUCCUGAUCUACGAUUGCAACGCAAAAAAGACCUUGACAUUGUGAUGGACAAUCAGACUAUGCGACUCGAUCGAUGUCUUUCUAUACCGAACCUGCGGCGUCAUCAACAUCCGUCCCCAGUUUUGGACAUAAAGCUUAUAAGCAAAUGACUUCAAUAAUUAAUAUAAAGCCAAAAACAGAAAAAAAAAGUCGAGAAAUGAACCCCGAGGGAUUCCGUAUGGCAAUUCUCAUUCGCAGACAGAUUUUCUAUUCGUUAGACAGCUUUGUAACUACCUCAAACAAAAAAUAUCAAUUUCUUAAGAAGCGUGUUCGUCUGCAUAGAGUCGUAUGAUCGGCCCGGCCGAACAGAUUAUUAAAGUGAAGCCAAUGCGAUAGAAAUCGAUAUUUUGCUGUUAAUAUUAAUAUGAGGACAAGCAGGAUAAUGUUAAGUGUCCUUCUGAACCUAUCCUGUUAUCCUAUGUCUAACAAUCUAUUUAAUUUUAAAUAAGACGGUAUCCGGUAGAAAGAAAUUUGUCAAAAACAAUGAAAUCUAUUGAGGAUACAUUAAACAAACAGUGGUUGGCAGGUUCCAAGUUUGAAGCAUUAACGAGCAGCCAAGUAAAAUUAAUCCUACUGAAAAUGGAGUGAAGUCCAGAUGAUUUAAGUGAGAGCACUCGAAAAAUUCGAAUAUACAAACAGUCGCUACUUACCGCAAGGAUGAGCUUACCCCUACUGAUGAUGAAGCUUGCUGCUGUUAGAAGACAGAGAAUGUUAUUAAGCUGAUCUCUGGAUAGACUGCAACGAACCUCUGACAAACGAAUACGCGCUGUCUACCCGGUAAAGAAAGUGCUUUGACUAGAACGGUUUCUCUGCUUGGAAACGAUCGUUUGUUUGUACGCAGCUUUAGGUGCUAAACUUUCGGUGGGGGUCCGAUAAUUGCAUUACAUUUUAUUUAUUCUGAGCCAAGGUUGUAAUAUGUAAUGGGUUAGAGCUGGGUAACUGUACUGGGUUGAGCAACUGUUAGAAAAAGGUAAAAUUUGUAUGCUUUAUGUAAAUUUACACAGUCAUGCUCUUGCUAUGGGUGUGCAAGUAAGCAAGCGCUAUUGGGCUGCUCAUCGAAAAUUUGUCUGACAAUAACUUUAAUCACACAAUGGGUGAGAGCUGCUUUGAAGGUGAAACCCAAAAACAUGUCAUCUCUUUUACGUAAUUCUGUACGAUGAGAAAUAACUCGGCUAUUCAUAUUGCCACCUUAUAAUGCUUACUAUAAGCGAAACAGACCAAAUGUACAUAUAGAGUAAUCCACCUUUGUGACCUUGCUAUAUCAGAAAUUGUGAGCCCACAACAUUAUUGACUACGGGUAAAAAAAACGCUUAAUGCAUCAUACAUGAUCAAUUUUUUUUCUGUAAUUUUGGCUAAAACUCCUUCGUACGAAAAGUCUGAAUCUCGAACAAAGUAACGCGUUCAUGCACGUCAAUUGACUAGACAACCGAAAAACGUCGACGUCCUACGCCACCUAAGUGAAAGAAGAAAGAAGUAGAAUCAGUAUUCCACUGCUACGAUAGAAUUCUCGUACGUAUACGAAUGCCCCUAGUUACAAACAACAUAACACUGGCCGUACGCUGCAACUGUUUGACCAGCAGUAAUUUUAUAAAAUGUCUGGUCCACUGCUGAAUAUUUUCUACGAGUUGAAAGGAUAAAGACAAAGUUCCACCCAAGAGGAACACGAGUGGUAAGGAAAGGAAAAUCGAGGACCCCCUCGGGGAGGCAAGGUCAUUUUGCAGAUGAGCUACAGCCACUAUCGACAGUGCAACGGUCGUUGUACUUCUACUAGAAAUUGUUACAUGUGACUUAUACGCCGCAACGGAGCUUCAAAAUGAAACGAUUAAACAUCUAUGUAGCAGCAAACAUUCGUUCUUUUCAAUAUGAUUCUAUGUCAGAUUGUCCGAUAUAACAUCUAUUAUCGUUGAUCGUUCUGGAAAAAAUGUGUAAAGUUAGAAAAAAAACACACGAGACAGUUUCGAGCGAAUGCGUAAUCAUCAGAACGCGCUUUAGUAAUUCAUAUUUAUUGUAGCAGGCGAUAAAUAUAGAAUUAAAGUAACUGAUUGAUUUCGCCGCGUUUCUAUGAAGCCUUCAUCGAUCUGUCUUUCUAUACGAUUCUCGUUUACUUGCCAUUUUGUGGCUUCCGCUCACGCGUGAAUGAGGGUCGCUUUUGCGUACGAAUCGACGAAGUGUGAUGAUGAUUACUUUGUCUAUAUUCAUGUUGCUGUUGCUAAUAAAUGAUCAUAAUCUCGUAGUUGUUAUCGUGUCUGAGAUUACUGUUAGUUAAUUAUCUCUUUUUUUUUUGCUAUUGUAAUUCUUGUUCCUAUAGUUAUUUAUUCAUUCAUUU
Molecule: long non-coding RNA, 2782 nt
Filed under: Varroa destructor (honeybee mite)
Lineage: Eukaryota; Metazoa; Arthropoda; Arachnida; Mesostigmata; Varroidae
Description: uncharacterized LOC111254045
Source: RNAcentral